CGCAGCCCGGCAGUCACUCGUGACCACGUUGGCCCGUCUUGAAGACCGGCCGCUUUCGUAGAAGAUCUGUCCUGGAACGCCGGCCUGUGCUGUCGUCACACAAGGACAGGAGCAACGCACCUGGCUUGCUCUGCCCGGGCAGGUGACUGGCACGUGUGUGCCGUUGGCCCGUGCAGCAGCUGCUCGCCGUCGAGGCUGGUGCGGCACCGUCCGGGGCAGCUGAUGUACCGGCAGCGCCAGCACUUGAUGUCUCCGACAGUCCUCUCCGGCACGUAGAGGAAUUCGCCGACCUUUUUCGUAACCUGCACGGACACGCGAUCUUGCUCGGCACUUACAACAACAACAACAACAACAACAACAAAAACAACAACAACAACGAUCGUCGAUUAAGAGGAAGCGUUAGCUCGGGCCCAACUUCAACGCGACCGAUUCAAAUAUAUGUAAAACGCAAAAACGGUUUUCUUGAAUAACCUCUGGACCGAUUUUAACGAAAGUUGUUGCAUUCGAAAAAGAAAGUUUAAAUUCUAGUGAAUGUUUGAAGCGAAAUUUUGAUUUAAGGCCUGAAUUUUGUUUAAAAGAUCUUCAAAAAUUCUAAAAUGUGAAAAAUACAGGAGCACGAAGUUUACAAAUUAUAGCUCUGUAUCAAUAAAAGAGAUCAAUGUUUUUAAAUGGCAUCCAUUAGAUCUCGCAAAGCGGACAAAUUCUAUAUAUCAAUUUAUACCUUACGUGAAAUUGUUACGUUGUGUACAGGGGUUCUGCAAAAGUUGUAUUUCCAUAUUAGUGAUGUUUUGUAGAUUCACGUGUAGCAUAUCAAUUAUGUCCGCUUUAGAUGUACUAUCCGAUGCAAUUCGCAAAAUUGUCAUAUCGUUUUCCCUUGCUGAGUUACAGAGUCGUAAACUUCAUUGUUUCGUUUUCUUGAAAUUUUUGAUUUUUCCUACUUUUUAAUAAAAAGUUCACGACUAAAUAAAAAAUUCGAAACCAACAGUCACUAGAUUUUAAGUUUUUCUUUUCAAUGCAACAGACCUCAUCAAAUUUACUGCAGUGGUUGCCUAGAAAUAUGAAUUAUCCUUUUACAUGAAUUUAGAUAGGCGCACCCGAGAUAAAGCUUCCAAUUGAAGAGUAAUUGGGUGAAUGAAAGCAAACGCGCAACAACGAAGGAAGACAACACCGCCAGUCACGUGACCAACGGCGUCUUCGAGGUGGCACAUGUGAGAUGUGAGUUUUGCGAUCCUAAAGGUGAGUCUUACGAGGAUAAGCAGUAAACCCAAAAAUUGUUAGCAGUCGUUCAAACAGACUGGUAAUGAGUAGGAUACGCGGAUUUUCCUGCAAUUUGCCAUGGUUUGCUGAAGAAGCUUAUCUUUCCUUAUAGUCCUUUGUGGUUCACAUGUACUGCGUGGCACAAUCGCAACAUUGAGCGCUUUAAGUUUACAACUGAUCAGUCUUAUCAUGUACUUUCUAGAGCGCUUAAACAAGUCUCAACACAUGCUACGAUGAGUGUCGCCUAAUAUAGAUUGGGCAAUAACAGCAUUUUACGUAUUCUGAGCAAUGGUUUUUGCUUCUGUGUGACAUUCUUUUAAAAAGUAUAAUGGUAGAAAUCGAAUGCGAAAUGUUGAACAUGCAGGAAAGAAUUUGCUUCAAGAAGCUUAGUACGAGUAUACGAAACCAAAGCUUUUGUUCGAAUGAAGAACGACGAAAUUUUUGCUAAUUGAAGGACUGCACAUUCUUCUUACUGAAACGCUGUAGUUGGGGCGAACACAGACGAUAGAGCCAGCUGUAGAUAUAGUAUUCUUAUUAUGCAAGUACCCUAUCCACAUAUUCUUUUCCGCAAUGAGAAGCACUGACGUCAACCACAAAUGCUGCAGUGUCAUACAUAGUUUCGUUUUGCGUUAGAGGCAGGUUAAGGUUUAGAGAUUCAGUUUUUAAAAAAUAUUCACGUUUUGAUCGCGUCGUCCUAGAACUCGUCAGUUUUUUACGCAAUCGCCAAAAGGCAUCCAGCCGUCACAGUUAUUUGGCUUUAACGUGUUAGUUUAUACGGAUCGAUCGUCAACCUGCCCACUUACCCCAUUUCUGAAGGUUUUAUGGGUGUGUUUCCUUUCUUCGGCAGCGCGGUGUUCGGCCUCAUCGUGUUCCUUGAAGUGUUCGUGCACGACUUCGACGUGGUCUCCGGAGUGCGCGGAACCGCCUAUACUGGAAGCCAUGGAACCGGGCAUCGUCGGUUCAGUCGAACAAAAUGAGGCGCCGAAUAACGUUGGCGACGCCUCCGGCGAGACACCACGUCGACGAAUGAUUCGCGCUCGUCGGUUGCGAGUACGCCCGUGAUGUCCACCCUCCGCAUGAAGAUAAGCAAGCUAUGCGCGGCGAUAAGAGUGUUUCGUUCCUCCAUGAUAUUCUGUGAUAAGACGAGCGAACGGCUCUUCGCGUCUGCCACGACGGCGCGACAGCGCUGCGAGUGGUGUCACCAAACGCGAAGGUCGCGUGUGUCGUCUGCUACGUAUCAGUAGCAGGCGCACAGACGGCAAGAACACCUAUUCGUUUAUGCUUGCGAGGCCUUGCGGCUGGCAACAGCAGUGUUAGCAGGGAUCACGAGUUUUAUAAGCUCCAUUCAAACUUCAACGGGGUGGGUGACUUGGUAAACUUCAUGUGAUGCGGCCGGCCACGCAGUGGCACAAUUUGCGCUGCACUUCCCGCAUGCGUCAUAUAUAUAUGUAUAUAUAUAUAUAUAUAUAUAUAUAUAACCGACUAAAUGACGAAUAUAAAUCAAUUUAUAACUUUGAAUUUUUCCUUCGUUUUACAGCAGGUCAGUCGAUGAAAUUUGGUACCAUUUCAGACACAGACUGUGCACGUAGGUGAACCAGUACGCUCCCUUAAUUGACAGAACAAAAGAUCAAUCCCACAUUAAUGACAGUCGUCUAUCUCAUGUCUUAUCUUUGUAGCACCUAGUAGGUAUUUAUUGUAUCACCGAACCUUUCUUGGUCUUCUCACGUCCACACUGUCUGCGCUAGUAGUCGCAGAUCUUUAGGAUACCUACGCCGUAACUUGAGCAACUGCCCGAAUGACGUUCGCAAAUUGACUUUUGAAAUACUCGUCCGUCCAUAGUUUGAGUAUGCAGCUCCUAUCUGGUCACCCUGCCACAAUUAUCUAAUUACCUAUCAAGAAUAUGCACAGAACAGGCCCGCUCGUUUCGUUUCGAUAACGUUUCCAUUCGUUUAACAUAACAGACUAAAACGAAGGCUAUGUUUACAUUGUCUGAUUUUCUACUUUACGUCUGCCUCUUCCACCUUGUACGUCACGCAGAUUACAUAAUAAUCUAAGCUUAAUUCGCAUCUACGGCACGACGGUGACUUUCAAUGCGCCAUUCGCCUCUGGAAUGAUCUCCGAGGUGUCACCGUCGCCGAAUCUGAGAAACAAAAAUUUCGCCAGCAUUUAACCACACACGUAACGAGGUGAACUAGAUCAGUAGAUUUUAUUGUUUCUUCUUUGCGUGUUUCUGCAAUGUUCAUUAAUAUGCGUUGGUAAACACGAUACAGCCAUGUGCACUGUCCGUGGGAAAUUCCCUUGUCUUUUUUCAUAAUAGUAGUUCUCGUGCUUGCAAUUUUUUAGCACGCAUCUUCAUAUAGCUCUUGCAUAUUGUAUAGCAGUCUCACCUGAAAUGUGUGAAUUUAUGCCUAUAGUUUUGUCCGUAUUUUUAUUGAUGUCUGUAUUUUUAUAUGCAGUUCGUUCUAGGUUUGUUUGUUUAUGUUUUGCGUUCCCAUUGUACUGUACCAGUCCCCCUUAGCCAACGCGUCAAACAGAGCCCUGUAUGGUAAUUUGAAUAAAAAAAAUUUAAAAAUGAUAUAUGGAACAAAUGA
Molecule: non-coding RNA, 3848 nt
Organism: Dermacentor andersoni
Lineage: Eukaryota; Metazoa; Arthropoda; Arachnida; Ixodida; Ixodidae
Source: RefSeq, a predicted model, not a curated record